GUGCCAGCCGCCGCGGUGACACCGGCAGCCCAAGUGAUGGCCGCUAUUAUUGGGCCUAAAGCGUCCGUAGCCGGCCGGGCAGGUCCGUCGGGAAAUCCAUCCGCUCAACGGAUGGGCGUCCGGCGGAAACCGCUCGGCUUGGGACCGGGAGACCAGAGGGGUACGUCCGGGGUAGGAGUGAAAUCCCGUAAUCCUGGACGGACCACCGGUGGCGAAAGCGCCUCUGGAGAACGGAUCCGACGGUGAGGGACGAAAGCUAGGGUCUCGAACCGGAUUAGAUACCCUUGUAGUCC
This 293-nucleotide ribosomal RNA is filed under the name uncultured bacterium. Its description in RNAcentral is "partial 16S ribosomal RNA". It matches the Rfam family "Archaeal small subunit ribosomal RNA", at positions 455 to 747 of the family's 1478-position model. The record is from RNAcentral.